This 119-nucleotide ribosomal RNA is filed under the name Aeromonas salmonicida subsp. salmonicida 01-B526. RNAcentral's name for it is "partial 16S ribosomal RNA". It matches the Rfam family "Bacterial small subunit ribosomal RNA", at positions 318 to 436 of the family's 1533-position model. Lineage: Bacteria; Pseudomonadati; Pseudomonadota; Gammaproteobacteria; Aeromonadales; Aeromonadaceae. The record is from RNAcentral.
ACUGAGACACGGCCCAGACUCCUACGGGAGGCAGCAGUGGGGAAUUUUGGACAAUGGACGCAAGUCUGAUCCAGCAAUGCCGCGUGCAGGAAGAAGGCCUUCGGGUUGUAGACUGCUUU